Molecule: ribosomal RNA, 635 nt
Filed under: Alternaria papavericola
Lineage: Eukaryota; Fungi; Ascomycota; Dothideomycetes; Pleosporales; Pleosporaceae
Description: eukaryotic LSU rRNA
Rfam family: Eukaryotic large subunit ribosomal RNA
Source: RNAcentral
UUUUGACCUCGGAUCAGGUAGGGAUACCCGCUGAACUUAAGCAUAUCAAUAAGCGGAGGAAAAGAAACCAACAGGGAUUGCCCUAGUAACGGCGAGUGAAGCGGCAACAGCUCAAAUUUGAAAUCUGGCUCUUUUAGAGUCCGAGUUGUAAUUUGCAGAGGGCGCUUUGGCUUUGGCAGCGGUCCAAGUUCCUUGGAACAGGACGUCACAGAGGGUGAGAAUCCCGUACGUGGUCGCUGGCUAUUGCUGUGUAAAGCCCCUUCGACGAGUCGAGUUGUUUGGGAAUGCAGCUCUAAAUGGGAGGUACAUUUCUUCUAAAGCUAAAUAUUGGCCAGAGACCGAUAGCGCACAAGUAGAGUGAUCGAAAGAUGAAAAGCACUUUGGAAAGAGAGUCAAACAGCACGUGAAAUUGUUGAAAGGGAAGCGCUUGCAGCCAGACUUGCUUGCAGUUGCUCAUCCGGGCUUUUGCCCGGUGCACUCUUCUGUAGGCAGGCCAGCAUCAGUUUGGGCGGUGGGAUAAAGGUCUCUGUCACGUACCUCUCUUCGGGGAGGCCUUAUAGGGGAGACGACAUACCACCAGCCUGGACUGAGGUCCGCGCAUCUGCUAGGAUGCUGGCGUAAUGGCUGUAAGCGGC